Molecule: ribosomal RNA, 467 nt
Filed under: uncultured bacterium
Lineage: Bacteria
Description: partial 16S ribosomal RNA
Rfam family: Bacterial small subunit ribosomal RNA
Source: RNAcentral
GACGAACGCUGGCGGCGUGCUUAACACAUGCAAGUCGAACGGAAAGGCCUCUUUCGGGGGGUACUCGAGUGGCGAACGGGUGAGUAACACGUGAGUAACCUGCCCGUGACUUUGGGAUAACUUCAGGAAACUGGGGCUAAUACCGGAUAGGAGCUCCUGCUGCAUGGUGGGGGUUGGAAAGUUUCGGCGGUUGGGGAUGGACUCGCGGCUUAUCAGCUUGUUGGUGGGGUAGUGGCUUACCAAGGCUUUGACGGGUAGCCGGCCUGAGAGGGUGAACGGCCCAAAUUGGACCGGAGUACGGCCCAGAAUCCUACGGGGGGCAGGAGGGGGGAAAUUUGGACAAUGGGUGGAAGGCUGAUGCAGCAACGCCGGGGGCGGGAUGACGGCCUUCGGGUUGUAAACCGCUUUCGCUCAUGACGGAGCUUUGUGUGUCGGUAGUGGGUAAAGAAGCACCGGCUAACUACGUG